RNAcentral lists this long non-coding RNA (641 nucleotides) under Homo sapiens (human). RNAcentral describes it as "HSALNT0346428". Lineage: Eukaryota; Metazoa; Chordata; Mammalia; Primates; Hominidae. The record is from RNAcentral.
UUAUUGAGAAGCUUGUGGAAUGUAGGCGUAAGUGUAUUGGAUAAUUAAAGUUUUGAUAUUCUGAUAUUGUUGGAACUACUUGAAGAAUUUAACAUUUGGUAAUUAUGAGACAACUUCUACAAGAACCGGCUGAUACCCUGAAAAAAAACCUGUCAGAGCCUUCCCUAGAGGCUACACCACAUUGUCACAUUAAUUUAGAAGAGACACAAGAUUCAAAGAAGGAAUUAGUUUGAUGAUCUCACAGCAGAAUUGGAAGCUGUAUCUUUACAAUGUGUCUAUUUGGCUGAAAACAAUCAAGUUACUCAACAGGAGUUAUCUAUGAAAAAAGUACAACAGGAAUGUGAAAAACUUGAGGAAAAUAAAAAGAUGUUGGAAGAAGGAAUAGUAAAUCUUAUGACACAUAUGGAAAAAUAUGGUAGAACUUGGUAAAGUACAAGAAUAUAAAUUGGAGCUAGAAGAAAAAGCAAUGCCAGCAAUAGAAAAAAAAUAGAAGAAAUCCAUUAACACGUUAGUUUUUAAAGUCAGCCCUGGAAUGAGUGAUUGUUCUUAGAAGCAGAGGUGGAGCCACCGAGGAAGCACAGGAUGAGCAUUCCGCAGCUUGCACUUACUGGUCCCCAGUAGGAAGAACCACUGCUGCAUCC